This 165-nucleotide non-coding RNA is filed under the name human gut metagenome. The record is from RNAcentral.
UACGAUAGGUGCCUGUCUCUUAGGAGAGAGGAUAAUAGGAAAAUGGGUGUAAGUCCCAUACGGUCCCGCCGCUGUGUUGGAGGAGCUGUAUUCCAUAUGUCACUGUUUUUACGGGAAGACGGAAUAUUGCGAUGAUGCCAGAGUCAGAAGACCUGCCUUUUGUAA